GAUGAACGCUGGCGGCGUGCCUAAUACAUGCAAGUCGAGCGAACGGACGAGAAGCUUGCUUCUCUGAUGUUAGCGGCGGACGGGUGAGUAACACGUGGAUAACCUACCUAUAAGACUGGGAUAACUUCGGGAAACCGGAGCUAAUACCGGAUAAUAUUUUGAACCGCAGGGUUCAAAAGUGAAAGACGGUCUUGCUGUCACUUAUAGAUGGAUCCGCGCUGCAUUAGCUAGUUGGUAAGGUAACGGCUUACCAAGGCAACGAUGCAUAGCCGACCUGAGAGGGUGAUCGGCCACACUGGAACUGAGACACGGUCCAGACUCCUACGGGAGGCAGCAGUAGGGAAUCUUGCACAAUGGGCGAAAGCCUGACGGAGCAAUGCCGCGUGAGUGAUGAAGGUCUUCGGAUCGUAAAACUCUGUUAUUAGGGAAGAACAUAUGUGUAAGUAACUGUGCACAUCUUGACGGUACCUUAACAGAAAGCCACGGCUAACUACGUG
Molecule: ribosomal RNA, 497 nt
Filed under: uncultured bacterium
Lineage: Bacteria
Description: partial 16S ribosomal RNA
Rfam family: Bacterial small subunit ribosomal RNA
Source: RNAcentral